Molecule: non-coding RNA, 143 nt
Organism: Pelobates cultripes (western spadefoot toad)
Lineage: Eukaryota; Metazoa; Chordata; Amphibia; Anura; Pelobatidae
Source: the annotation of a GenBank genome assembly
AGCUUUGGCGCAGUGGCAGUAUCGUGAAAUUAAGUGAGGUCAAUCCGAGGCGCGAUUAUUGCUAAUUGAAAACUUUACCUAAUACCCCGCCUAUGAUGACUUGAAAUAUGCCGCAUUGCAAUUUUUGACAGGCUCUGAGGAGU